GAGCGGGGGAAGGUAGCUUGCUACUGGACCUAGCGGCGGACGGGUGAGUAAUGCUUAGGAAUCUGCCUAUUAGUGGGGGACAACAUCUCGAAAGGGAUGCUAAUACCGCAUACGUCCUACGGGAGAAAGCAGGGGAUCUUCGGACCUUGCGCUAAUAGAUGAGCCUAAGUCGGAUUAGCUAGUUGGUGGGGUAAAGGCCUACCAAGGCGACGAUCUGUAGCGGGUCUGAGAGGAUGAUCCGCCACACUGGGACUGAGACACGGCCCAGACUCCUACGGGAGGCAGCAGUGGGGAAUAUUGGACAAUGGGGGGAACCCUGAUCCAGCCAUGCCGCGUGUGUGAAGAAGGCCUUAUGGUUGUAAAGCACUUUAAGCGAGGAGGAGGCUACUUUAGUUAAUACCUAGAGAUAGUGGACGUUACUCGCAGAAUAAGCACCGGCUAACUCUGUGCCAGCAGCCGCGGUAAUACAGAGGGUGCGAGCGUUAAUCGGAUUUACUGGGCGUAAAGCGUGCGUAGGCGGCUUAUUAAGUCGGAUGUGAAAUCCCCGAGCUUAACUUGGGAAUUGCAUUCGAUACUGGUGAGCUAGAGUAUGGGAGAGGAUGGUAGAAUUCCAGGUGUAGCGGUGAAAUGCGUAGAGAUCUGGAGGAAUACCGAUGGCGAAGGCAGCCAUCUGGCCUAAUACUGACGCUGAGGUACGAAAGCAUGGGGAGCAAACAGGAUUAGAUACCCUGGUAGUCCAUGCCGUAAACGAUGUCUACUAGCCGUUGGGGCCUUUGAGGCUUUAGUGGCGCAGCUAACGCGAUAAGUAGACCGCCUGGGGAGUACGGUCGCAAGACUAAAACUCAAAUGAAUUGACGGGGGCCCGCACAAGCGGUGGAGCAUGUGGUUUAAUUCGAUGCAACGCGAAGAACCCUUACCUGGGCCUUGACAUACUAGAACUUUCCAGAGAUGGAUUGGUGCCCUUCGGGAAUCUAGAUACAGUGCUGCAUGGCUGUCGUCAGCUCGUGUCGUGAGAUGUUGGG
RNAcentral lists this ribosomal RNA (1022 nucleotides) under Acinetobacter baumannii. Its description in RNAcentral is "bacterial SSU rRNA". It matches the Rfam family "Bacterial small subunit ribosomal RNA", at positions 64 to 1079 of the family's 1533-position model. Lineage: Bacteria; Pseudomonadati; Pseudomonadota; Gammaproteobacteria; Moraxellales; Moraxellaceae. The record is from RNAcentral.